UACGUAGGGUGCGAGCGUUGUCCGGAAUUAUUGGGCGUAAAGGGCUCGUAGGCGGUCUGUCGCGUCGAAAGUGAAAACUCAGGGCUUAACCCUGAGCCUGCUUCCGAUACGGGCAGACUAGAGGUAUGCAGGGGAGAACGGAAUUCCUGGUGUAGCGGUGGAAUGCGCAGAUAUCAGGAGGAACACCGGUGGCGAAGGCGGUUCUCUGGGCAUUACCUGACGCUGAGGAGCGAAAAUGUGGGGAGCGAACAGG
Molecule: ribosomal RNA, 253 nt
Filed under: uncultured bacterium
Lineage: Bacteria
Description: partial 16S ribosomal RNA
Rfam family: Bacterial small subunit ribosomal RNA
Source: RNAcentral